This 404-nucleotide ribosomal RNA is filed under the name uncultured bacterium. RNAcentral describes it as "bacterial SSU rRNA". It matches the Rfam family "Bacterial small subunit ribosomal RNA", at positions 241 to 662 of the family's 1533-position model. The record is from RNAcentral.
UUAGCUUGUUGGUGAGGUAACGGCUCACCAAGGCUUCGAUCCGUAGCUGGUCUGAGAGGAUGAUCAGCCACACUGGGACUGAGACACGGCCCAGACUCCUACGGGAGGCAGCAGUGGGGAAUAUUGGACAAUGGGGGCAACCCUGAUCCAGCCAUGCCGCGUGCGUGAAGAAGGCCUUAGGGUUGUAAAGCGCUUUCGGCGGGGAAGAUGAUGACGGUACCCGCAGAAGAAGCCCCGGCUAACUCCGUGCCAGCAGCCGCGGUAAUACGGAGGGGGCAAGCGUUGUUCGGAAUUACUGGGCGUAAAGGGCGCGUAGGCGGAUUAUCAAGUCAGAGGUGAAAGCCCUGGGCUCAACCUGGGAACUGCCUUUGAAACUGAUAGUCUUGAGUCCGAGAGAGGAUGGC